GUCCUCUGGAUUGUAAACUUCUUUUAUUUGGGAAAAAACCCCAGAUUUCUAUUGGGGUUGACGGUACCAGAUGAAUAAGCACCGGCUAACUCCGUGCCAGCAGCCGCGGUAAUACGGAGGGUGCGGGCGUUAUCCGGAUUCACUGGGUUUAAAGGGUGCGUAGGCGGGUAGGUAAGUCCGUGGUGAAAUCUCCAAGCUUAACUUGGAAACUGCCGUGGAUACUAUUUGUCUUGAAUAUAGUGGAGGUGAGCGGAAUAUGUCAUGUAGCGGUGAAAUGCUUAGAUAUGACAUAGAACACCCAUUGCGAAGGCAGCUCGCUACACUAUUAUUGACGCUGAGGCACGAAAGCGUGGGGAUCAAACAGGAUUAGAUACCCUGGUAGUCCACGCCCUAAACGAUGAUUACUCGACAUCAGCGAUACACUGUUGGUGUCUGAGCGAAAGCAUUAAGUAAUCCACCUGGGAAGUACGACCGCAAGGUUGAAACUCAAAG
Molecule: ribosomal RNA, 492 nt
Filed under: uncultured Chitinophagaceae bacterium
Lineage: Bacteria; Pseudomonadati; Bacteroidota; Chitinophagia; Chitinophagales; Chitinophagaceae
Description: bacterial SSU rRNA
Rfam family: Bacterial small subunit ribosomal RNA
Source: RNAcentral